GAUUACAGUCAUACCACCCUGUCUGCGCCCGAUCUAGUCUGAUCUCGGAAGCUUAGCAGGGUCGGGCCUGCUUAGUACAUGGAUGGGAGUCUGCCUGGGAAUACCAGGUGCUGUAAUCU
RNAcentral lists this ribosomal RNA (119 nucleotides) under Sinocyclocheilus rhinocerous. The record is from RNAcentral. Lineage: Eukaryota; Metazoa; Chordata; Actinopteri; Cypriniformes; Cyprinidae.